This 274-nucleotide ribosomal RNA is filed under the name uncultured bacterium. RNAcentral's name for it is "partial 16S ribosomal RNA". It matches the Rfam family "Bacterial small subunit ribosomal RNA", at positions 523 to 796 of the family's 1533-position model. The record is from RNAcentral.
AUACAGAGGGUGCAAGCGUUAAUCGGAAUCACUGGGCGUAAAGCGCGCGCAGGCGGUCUUUUAAGUUGGAUGUGAAAGCCUACGGCUCAACCGCAGAACUGCAUCCAAAACUAUUAGACUAGAGUGUGGGAGAGGAAGAUGGAAUUAGUGGUGUAGGGGUAAAAUCCGUAGAGAUCAUUAGGAAUACCGAAAGCGAAGGCGAGCUACUGGAACAGUACUGACGCUGAGGCGCGAAAGCGUGGGGAGCAAACAGGAUUAGAAACCCCGGUAGUCC